This 426-nucleotide ribosomal RNA is filed under the name uncultured bacterium. Its description in RNAcentral is "bacterial SSU rRNA". It matches the Rfam family "Bacterial small subunit ribosomal RNA", at positions 354 to 796 of the family's 1533-position model. The record is from RNAcentral.
GUGAGGAAUUUUCCGCAAUGGGCGAAAGCCUGACGGAGCAAUGCCGCGUGAAGGAUGAAGGCCUAUGGGUUGUAAACUACUUUUCUCAGAAAAGAAUUAUGACGGUAUCUGAGGAAUAAGCAUCGGCUAACUCUGUGCCAGCAGCCGCGGUAAGACAGAGGAUGCAAGCGUUAUCCGGAAUGAUUGGGCGUAAAGCGUCUGUAGGUUGUUUAAAAAGUAUUCUGUCAAAGAUUAGGGCUUAACCCUAGAUAGGCAGAAUAAACUUUUAAGCUAGAGUUUGGUAGAGGCAGAGGGAAUUCCCGGUGGAGCGGUGAAAUGCGUAGAUAUCGGGAGGAACACCAAAGGCGAAGGCACUCUGCUGGGCCAAUACUAACACUGAGAGACGAAAGCGAGGGGAGCAAAUGGGAUUAGAAACCCUGGUAGUCC